UGACUGCGUACCUUUUGUAUAAUGGGUCAGCGACUUACAUUUAGUAGCGAGGUUAAGCGAAUAGCGGAGCCGUAGGGAAACCGAGUGUUAACUGCGCGUUAGUUGCUAGGUGUAGACCCGAAACCCGGUGAUCUAGCCAUGGGCAGGUUGAAGGUUGAGUAACAUCAACUGGAGGACCGAACCGACUAAUGUUGAAAAAUUAGCGGAUGACUUGUGGCUGGGGGUGAAAGGCCAAUCAAACCGGGAGAUAUCUGGUUCUCCUCGAAAGCUAUUUAGGUAGCGCCUCGGACGAACACCUUUGGGGGUAGAGCACUGUUAAGGCUAGGGGGUCAUCCCGACUUACCAACCCUUUGCAAACUCCGAAUACCAAAGAGUGCUAUCCGGGAGACAGACGGCGGGUGCUAACGUCCGUCGUCAAAAGGGAAACAACCCAGACCGUCAGCUAAGGUCCCAAAGUAAUUGCUAAGUGGGAAACGAUGUGGGAAGGCUUAGACAGCUAGGAUGUUGGCUUAGAAGCAGCCAUCAUUUAAAGAAAGCGUAAUAGCUCACUAGUCGAGUCGGCCUGCGCGGAAGAUGUAACGGGGCUAAGCAAUUCACCGAAGCUACGGGUACUGAUGCUUGCAUCAGUGCGGUAGAGGAGCGUUCUGUAAGCCGUUGAAGGCGAAGGGGUAACCCACGCUGGAGGUAUCAGAAGUGCGAAUGCUGACAUGAGUAACGAUAAAGGGGGUGAAAAACCCCCUCGCCGAAAGACCAAGGGUUCCUGUCCAACGUUAAUCGGGGCAGGGUGAGUCGACCCCUAAGGCGAGGCUGAAAGGCGUAGUCGAUGGGAAACGGGUUAAUAUUCCCGUACUUCUGCUAACUGCGAUGGAGAGACGGAGAAGGCUAGGCCGGCGCGGCGUUGGUAGUCCGCGUUUAAGGUAGUAGGUGGUGUGCUUAGGCAAAUCCGGGCACACAUACACUGAGAGCUGACGACGAGUCCCUAAGGGGAUGAAGUGGUUGAUGCCAUGCUUCCAGGAAAAUCUUCUAAGCUUCAGGUUAGCAGGAAUCGUACCCCAAACCGACACAGGUGGUCGGGUAGAGAAUACCAAGGCGCUUGAGAGAACUCGGCUGAAGGAACUAGGCAAAAUGGUACCGUAACUUCGGGAGAAGGUACGCUCCUGUUGGUGAUGAGACUUGCUCUCUGAGCUGACGGGAGUCGCAGAUACCAGGUGGCUGCAACUGUUUAUCAAAAACACAGCACUGUGCAAAAUCGCAAGAUGACGUAUACGGUGUGACGCCUGCCCGGUGCCGGAAGGUUAAUUGAUUGGGUUAUCUUCGGAGAAGCUCAUGAUCGAAGCCCCGGUAAACGGCGGCCGUAACUAUAACGGUCCUAAGGUAGCGAAAUUCCUUGUCGGGUAAGUUCCGACCUGCACGAAUGGCGUAAUGAUGGCCACGCUGUCUCCAGCCGAGACUCAGUGAAGUUGAAAUUGCGGUGAAGAUGCCGUAUACCCGCGGCUAGACGGAAAGACCCCGUGAACCUUUACUAUAGCUUGGCACUGAACAUUGACCCUACAUGUGUAGGAUAGGUGGGAGACUAUGAAGAUGAGACGCCAGUCUUGUUGGAGUCAACCUUGAAAUACCACCCUUGUAGUGUUGAUGUUCUAACCUGGGCCCCUAAUCGGGGUUAGGGACAGUGCCUGGUGGGUAGUUUGACUGGGGCGGUCUCCUCCCAAAGAGUAACGGAGGAGCACGAAGGUUGGCUAAGUACGGUCGGACAUCGUACGGUUAGUGUAAUGGCAUAAGCCAGCUUAACUGCGAGACAGACACGUCGAGCAGGUGCGAAAGCAGGUCAUAGUGAUCCGGUGGUUCUGAAUGGAAGGGCCAUCGCUCAACGGAUAAAAGGUACUCCGGGGAUAACAGGCUGAUACCGCCCAAGAGUUCAUAUCGACGGCGGUGUUUGGCACCUCGAUGUCGGCUCAUCACAUCCUGGGGCUGAAGUCGGUCCCAAGGGUAUGGCUGUUCGCCAUUUAAAGUGGUACGCGAGCUGGGUUCAGAACGUCGUGAGACAGUUCGGUCCCUAUCUGCCGUGGGCGUUGGAUGAUUGAGGGGAGCUGCUCCUAGUACGAGAGGACCGGAGUGGACGAACCGCUGGUGUUCGGGUUGUCAUGCCAAUGGCAUUGCCCGGUAGCUACGUUCGGAAUCGAUAACCGCUGAAAGCAUCUAAGCGGGAAGCGAGCCCCAAGAUGAGUCAUCCCUAGGGCCUAGAGCCCUCUGAAGAGCCGUUCGAGACCAGGACGUUGA
Molecule: ribosomal RNA, 2280 nt
Filed under: Shewanella algae JCM 21037 = NBRC 103173
Lineage: Bacteria; Pseudomonadati; Pseudomonadota; Gammaproteobacteria; Alteromonadales; Shewanellaceae
Description: bacterial LSU rRNA
Rfam family: Bacterial large subunit ribosomal RNA
Source: RNAcentral